UUCCAUAUUCAUAUGUUCCAGUCCUUUCGACGAAAUCAUCUUUGGAUCGUGAAGCAUCGGGCCGCAGCCUCUCGGCGACAUGCCGUAAGAAGUUUCUCCAGGUACAUUCGCGUGGGAACGAGGUGAAACGAGGUGACUGACUGAUUAGCGGUGGCCGCAGGAUCUACAAAUUGUCCAUUCAACUGCCUCUGGGAUGUCGAAACCACCGUCUGUCCUCCAACAGGAGCCAACGGUGAAGGCUGUCCCGUGAUGGUGUACUGUCCCGUCGUCCCGGCUCGUUGAAACGCAGACUGAUCCGCCGGUAUAAAGGUUUGUUGUUGAUAUGGGACUGUAAUAUUUCGAAUAUGAAUAGGAUUCAUUCAGAUAUAACGCAAAGACAAAAAAAAUUCGUCUUUUUAACGAGCUUGUCACUCACCUGCUUGAGGAUGAUAGGGUGUCGCGGCGCCAUACUGAGUAUGGUACCUCAACUCGUCGAGUUGAUUUGGCGCGGAAAUUUGUUGAAUAAAUUGUUGAGGCGGCCAUGGAGCCGGUGACGUCUCGACUGCGACGGGUCCGACUCCCUGAUGCCAGACCGCGUUUCCAAAACCAGCCGCGGGUCGGAAGCCGGUGCCGGAAUCUCCGUAAAAUGGCAUCACUCCGGGUGACUGCGCAUAUAAGAAGGAAGAAAUUUAACAAUUUUUUCGGUCUCUUCAGUUUUUCAACUAAGUCGUGAAAUUACAAAAGUUUACAUUUCA
This is a non-coding RNA of Nylanderia fulva, 734 nucleotides long. The record is from RefSeq and is a predicted model, not a curated record. NCBI's taxonomy places the organism in Eukaryota, Metazoa, Arthropoda, Insecta, Hymenoptera, Formicidae.